GCUCAAGUUUUGAAUAUGUGGUUGUACAUCAUGCUCCUAAUUAAAGAAACACUUGGCCCUGCUGAAAGGAAAGAAACAUUCCUUUUCUGUUGUAUCACAUCGUAACAUAAUUGGAGAGUAUCUACUGAAGGCCUACUAUGUUCCCGUACUCAGCUAAGUGCCGUCGGAUACAUGGAAUCCACGGACUUCUGAGAGCUGCUGGAAAAAAAUCACCACCCCUAGGUGGACUGAUGCCAUGACAAAUCAUGAUUUCCAGAAUCACCUGGACUUCCUUUGAAUCCAGUUUCCCUGCAUCAGAGAAAACGCUUUCCCUUCCUGCAGUGGCUAUUCUAAAGUUUCGAUGCAAUCCUCACAUCCUUUAUCUUCCUCACAUCUCAUCUGCUUUUAGCAAAUGGCCUCACCAUGAAAAUCAUGACUACCAGCAGCCAUAUUGUGAUGAUGAGGGACAGGCAUAAGAUUGAAAGGAAACAGAUAGAAGACGUAAUGCCAAAAGCUGGGAAGAGCUGGUGUCUUUAAGAACAUUUUUGAGCCACUGCGUAACAAAUUCCAAGGCUGAACUUUAAUACUUAUAUGAGAUAAUAAUAAUAGCAGGGGUGAAAUCUGCUGGUGUUUAAAAGCUACCACACUUUGAGAAAUGACCAGGUUUUUUCUUUUUUCUUUUUCCUUUUCCACAGCAGCACUUGUCAGAGAUUGAAAAACAAUAGAUCAGUGAGGAGGAGGGUCAUUAAGUAGGAAGAGGUGGGGAAUUAUUUCCUAACAAUCAGGAUUGAAUAUCAGCAAUCUUGUUGUUGCUGUUCUCACUACACUGAGUGCCUGAUGUAUGCAUUACUAUUGAAUGUGAUCUAAUUAUUCUGGCCUUUAUGUCCACGAGUAUAGAAAUUUGCAGAAGGAAAACAUGGUGAUAAAGUGUUCUGCUAACCUCAAAGUCUUCCACAACGUGUAUUAGACUCCUAGCCCCAUCAACUCUGCUAUAUCUGCUUCUUCAAAGGAGCUUCU
Leopardus geoffroyi (Geoffroy's cat) is the source of this 996-nucleotide long non-coding RNA. RefSeq lists it as uncharacterized. The record is from RefSeq and is a predicted model, not a curated record. Lineage: Eukaryota; Metazoa; Chordata; Mammalia; Carnivora; Felidae. The transcript has 3 exons.